CCCACCCACCCCCGAUCCCAUCCCUCCCAAACCCUAACCCGCACCCGCACUCCUCCUUCCUCGGCUCCUCGCCGCCGCCACCUCCUCCCCGUCCCGCAGCAGCGCCCACCGUGUCACCUGCCGGCCGCCCUCGCGGGCGGCUGCGUCCACGGCGACGACGGAGGCCGCGGUCGGUCGUCUCCUUAUCCGCCUCUCGCCCUAACGCCAGACCCAAUCCGCCGUCGUCCUCUUCUCCAGUCGCACCGGCGACCUCCAACCUCAUCGCCGGCAGCCCCUCCCCUUUCCUCCUAGAUCGACUCGAGCUGCUCAUGUCGUGGCCAGAUCUGGCAGGAACUCCCUCCCUCCCACCUCGCUUCGCAUCCCGUUCCAUCUUCGCCCGAGAGCCAAGAAGCUUCCGGGCUCCGUCCAUUCCCCCACCUUUCCGCUGAAGAUGAAUCUGCAGCGGCGAGCGAUGGCUCUGACCCACCGGUUCCGGCUCCUCUUCCCUGCCGCCGUCCUGGCCGGGCUCGCCUCCGCGUCGCCCUCCCUGUCUGUGUCUGACAGCAUAUUCCAGGCCAGCACCGGAUCGACAUCGACGGGGAGGAGGAGCUUGCUGCGUAUUCCAUGCCUUUUUUUAGUUUGAAGUGAUGGUGUUGGAUAGCAUUCCUGUGUUACCUGACUUCGAAAUAGGUACUGAAUUCACAUGCUUGUUAACUGAAUAUAGCCUCUUGUUCUGCAACCUGCUUGACGAACUCACACUGUAAGGAUUGACAGGGCUGGUGUGGAGUUCCUGGGCUUAAUAAAAUAGAGUUCAAUGGUGAACUACCAAAGGAAAUUACAGAGUAUCAUUCAGUAGUACAUCAGUAGGAAACUUGGACAUCAGAUAGCUAUUAGGAGGAAACUUGGAUUCUGUAUGUCCAGAUAGCUAUCAUGCAAAUGUGCACCCUUAUUUCAAGCAUUUCCGGACGCAGGGAGUAUUUUUUAGAGAGUAUACUUCGCACCAUGUUCAGGACUAAGUAGUUGUUUUGCUUGUUUCCAUCUGAUACGCAUCCAUUUAUUUUUGUCCAUGCUUAUCAGACUGCCCUAUGAGCUUCGAGACCGAGAACUAAGUAGUUGUUUUGCUUGUUUUUGAGCUACUGCCACUUUGAGUUGUUGUAGAUGAUGAGUAGAUGAUCUGGUGUACAUUUUGUGGUCUGGAAACAAAAUUACUAAGCAAGGUGAAGCCCUGAGCUUGACUUCAUUGCUGUGCUCUAUUUAUAUUUAUUUACUGCUAUAACAUGGAUAUAUAUUCAGCUUUAAUGUUAGUUGUAGCGCUAACACAUCCAUAUGUGAAAAAAGGGUUCAGACAGAACUAUGCUUGCUAGUACUAUCUCUCUAAAACAUGCUUGCUGUGUUAUUGCUAGCGGUCAUAUACUCACGUGACAAUGCAUGUUUGCAGUUACUGAAACUUAACCUUGUUGGUUACCAGUGCAAUGACAACAAACUUGGCGCAUAAUUGUCAUAUGCUACUCUUGCUUGUUAAUUUGUGCUCAAUGAACUAUAUGAGCUCUCUUUACUGCAUCUUGUAUGCCCAUGCAUUAGCAUGAUAUAGUAUGGCACAUACACUAGCUACAAAAUUUGUACCUUCGAAGUAGUACUACAUGCAACCUCAUGGAACCUUCAUGCUCUGCCAUUGACCUACCAUAAAUAUAUACUACUACAACAGCCUGUUACUAUUACUAGUUUACUACAUGCCAUCUUUUUACUUUCAGUAGUGAUUUUGAUGCAUAAAUGCUGGUGAGAAUAAGAUGUUGUAGUCUAGAUAUAUGAUGCAAAGUAUGUUGUAUUUACACACUUGUAUCGAACUGCAGCAACCACACGGGCAAGUUGAGGUAGGGGAUAGAGAGGUUGAGCCACUCGGGUGCUGAUCAUGUACAGCGGCGCUCUUUCCAGCGUCGACCCGACCAAACAAAUGAUGCAAGGCUUCGCUGUUGAUGCUGCAUGUCUUCAUCAACUUAGUUGUUCCACACAGAGAGAUAUAAAUCCUUCACUUGUUCACUUUGUAAUUUGCAGAUUACUUCUUCCGUUAAUCACCUAGUGCUCCUGUUAGUGAGAUUCAUCUAGUUUUUUUGGUUCCAGCGUCCGACUAUGCUUUGUAAUUUUGGUUUCAUCCCCCACCACUCCAGCUAGCGUCUUCUUCACAUCAUAUUAUAUUUGCAGCUGCUGCUGCAUCAUGGAUUGGAUGGUCACCUACUAGCUAAGUAGCUUAGCUUGUUUUGCCAUCGAAUCAAUACUGUUUUACUUUGCUUGUUUCUCGUACUAGGUCUGUCAGUUACAGCAUAAACAAACAAAUUACUUAGCUCUCAACUCUGAAUACUUAGCUAGCUGAACCUGUUCUUUCUUUCUUUCUUCAGAGUUAUGACUUAUAUGGGUCAAGCUGCUGUUUUGCUGUGCUCGAGGAUACUAUUGCUGCCUGUAUACUGAUACAUUUGUAGGCUAUAGUGUGCUUGUAUGCUUAAGCUGAUCUGGCCCUCACCUCGUUCUUUCUCUCGCAGACCCGAAGGAGACCAUAUGCAAGGCACCUCCUUUUCAGUCGUGAGAGCGUCCAGGGGUCGUGGGUGCGGCUAAUGCAUAUGUUCGUGGUCGCGCUUGCCACUGCCCUCUCUUCAAGGGCAUGAGCUCCAGGCCUAUUUUUUUGGAGUGUGAAGCCGUGAAGCCAAGUGUGAAAGAUGUGAAGCCAAGUGUGAAGCAGUACUUAGCAAAGAGUUUUUGGUUCUGUACUUAGCAAAGAGUUUUUGGUUCUGAAGUGUGAAGCCAAGUGUAAAUUGUAAUAUUGUAAAAGUCUAAUGUAGUGUUAAUGAAUUAUAUCUGUUCUGUCCUAUUUGAAAUAAUGAUUAUGUAUGUUGAAAA
Molecule: non-coding RNA, 2868 nt
Organism: Triticum urartu
Lineage: Eukaryota; Viridiplantae; Streptophyta; Magnoliopsida; Poales; Poaceae
Source: RefSeq, a predicted model, not a curated record